Clarias gariepinus (North African catfish) is the source of this 372-nucleotide long non-coding RNA. RefSeq lists it as uncharacterized. Lineage: Eukaryota; Metazoa; Chordata; Actinopteri; Siluriformes; Clariidae. The record is from RefSeq and is a predicted model, not a curated record. The transcript is spliced from 3 exons.
CUGGGGGUAAGGUGGCCUGGGCUUACAGGUCCCGCCCCCUAGCUUUCAUUGUAUGUCGUCACACCCAGAACAGAACCAGGAAGUCGGAGGUGAUUGUGUUGCAGUUUAGCAAGCCUGAUUUAAGUCAGCGGGUACGGGCAUUCACCUGUUGUGGAAGUGAUUGUUCCUCCCAACAAACUGGCAGUCUUCCUGUAGAACUGAUUGAGCUUUCAGCUUCCUGGAACCUGGCUUAAAUGCCCUUCUGGUGAGACUUGGUGCCACAUUGCACGAUUGGGGUGGCGCGACGUGUGCUAGCUUCCUGAGGUGCUGCAACGCAAAGAGCAUUAUCGGCGGGCGCUGCUGUUUUGUUUUAGACUGUUUUAUUCUGUUUUA